RNAcentral lists this ribosomal RNA (427 nucleotides) under uncultured bacterium. Its description in RNAcentral is "bacterial SSU rRNA". It matches the Rfam family "Bacterial small subunit ribosomal RNA", at positions 354 to 776 of the family's 1533-position model. The record is from RNAcentral.
GUCGAGAAUCUUCCGCAAUGGGCGAAAGCCUGACGGAGCGACACCGCGUGCAGGAUGAAGGCCUUCGGGUCGUAAACUGCUGUCACGCUAUAGGAAUGGCGCGUCGUUAAUAGCGGCGCGUUUGACCAAAGCGAGAGGAAGCACCGGCUAACUCCGUGCCAGCAGCCGCGGUAAGACGGAGGGUGCGAACGUUGUUCGGAAUUACUGGGCAUAAAGAGCACGUAGGCGGCCAGGUCAGUCCGGUGUGAAAGCCCUCGGCUCAACCGGGGAACUGCAUCGGAUACUGCCUGGCUCGAGGACGGUUGGGGUGAGUGGAACUCCUGGUGGAGCGGUGAAAUGCGUAGAUAUCAGGAGGAACACCGGUGGCGAAAGCGGCUCACUGGACCGUCUCUGACGCUGAGGUGCGAAAGCUAGGGUAGCGAACGGG